GGCACCUUAGUGUAGUGGUUAUCACAUCGGAUUUUGAUUCCGAUGACCCGAGUUCGAAUCUCGGAGGAGCCU
This 72-nucleotide transfer RNA is filed under the name Ramicandelaber brevisporus. RNAcentral describes it as "tRNA-Gln". It matches the Rfam family "tRNA". Rfam says of the family: Transfer RNA (tRNA) molecules are approximately 80 nucleotides in length. Their secondary structure includes four short double-helical elements and three loops (D, anti-codon, and T loops). Further hydrogen bonds mediate the characteristic L-shaped molecular structure. tRNAs have two regions of fundamental functional importance: the anti-codon, which is responsible for specific mRNA codon recognition, and the 3' end, to which the tRNAs corresponding amino acid is attached (by aminoacyl-tRNA synthetases). tRNAs cope with the degeneracy of the genetic code in two manners: having more than one tRNA (with a specific anti-codon) for a particular amino acid; and 'wobble' base-pairing, i.e. permitting non-standard base-pairing at the 3rd anti-codon position. Lineage: Eukaryota; Fungi; Kickxellomycota; Ramicandelaberales; Ramicandelaberaceae. The record is from RNAcentral.